GGGGGCGACAUUGGCUUCGACGGGGGCGCGAAGUCGUGGGAUGCAUGCCGAGCACCAUUAACUCGUAAAUCUGAUGGAACAUCCGUUAACUGCGGAUUCUCAGUACGCUCUCGCAGCCUAAUUAAGCUGUGAGCAUCUGCCCUGACCUCGCCUGGUGGUUGGGGGUCAGAUGUCAUAAAACAGGCUGGUUCCCGGAUGGCGGCUCGGCGUCCGGGGGCGAGAUUUUCCGGGUCUGGCGCCUGGCGGUUCUGGCCGCUUCCACACGUCGGGCGCGAGACAACAGAAGCGGACACGCAUGUAGAGUCCUGCGAGGCCGUGCUUUCGGACGCGGGUUCGACUCCCGCCGCCUCCACCA
Molecule: transfer-messenger RNA, 355 nt
Filed under: Acidobacteriota bacterium
Lineage: Bacteria; Pseudomonadati; Acidobacteriota
Also listed under: 1 other name
Description: Acidobacteria bacterium (drinking water metagenome) transfer-messenger RNA
Rfam family: transfer-messenger RNA
About the family: Bacterial tmRNA, also known as 10Sa RNA or SsrA, is named for its dual tRNA and mRNA-like properties. Its role is to liberate the mRNA from a stalled ribosome. To accomplish this part of the tmRNA is used as a reading frame that ends in a translation stop signal.
Source: RNAcentral